This 428-nucleotide ribosomal RNA is filed under the name Porticoccaceae bacterium. Its description in RNAcentral is "bacterial SSU rRNA". It matches the Rfam family "Bacterial small subunit ribosomal RNA", at positions 1 to 433 of the family's 1533-position model. Lineage: Bacteria; Pseudomonadati; Pseudomonadota; Gammaproteobacteria; Cellvibrionales; Porticoccaceae. The record is from RNAcentral.
UAAACUGAAGAGUUUGAUCAUGGCUCAGAUUGAACGCUGGCGGCAGGCCUAACACAUGCAAGUCGAGCGCGAAAACACUUCGGUGUGAGUAGAGCGGCGGACGGGUGAGUAAUGCUUGGGAAUCUACCUAGUAGUGGGGGAUAACGUGUGGAAACGCACGCUAAUACCGCAUACGUCCUACGGGAGAAAGCAGGGGAUCUUCGGACCUUGCGCUAUUAGAUGAGCCCAAGUCGGAUUAGCUAGUUGGUGGGGUAAUGGCUCACCAAGGCUACGAUCCGUAGCUGGUCUGAGAGGAUGAUCAGCCACACUGGGACUGAGACACGGCCCAGACUCCUACGGGAGGCAGCAGUGGGGAAUAUUGCACAAUGGGCGAAAGCCUGAUGCAGCCAUGCCGCGUGUGUGAAGAAGGCUCUAGGGUUGUAAAGCAC